AGCGAACGCUGGCGGCAGGCUUAACACAUGCAAGUCGAGCGGGCACUUCGGUGUCAGCGGCAGACGGGUGAGUAACACGUGGGAACGUACCCUUUGGUUCGGAAUAACGCUGGGAAACUAGCGCUAAUACCGGAUACGCCCUUUUGGGGAAAGGCUUGCUGCCGAAGGAUCGGCCCGCGUCUGAUUAGCUAGUUGGUGGGGUAAUGGCCUACCAAGGCGACGAUCAGUAGCUGGUCUGAGAGGAUGAUCAGCCACACUGGGACUGAGACACGGCCCAGACUCCUCCGGGAGGCCGCAGUGGGGACUAUUGGACAAUGCGCGCAAGACUGAUCCCGCCAUGCCGCGUGAGUGAUGAAGGCCUUAGGGUUGUAAAGCUCUUUUGUCCGGGACGAUAAUGCCGGUACCGGAAGAAUAAGCCCCGGCUACCUUCGU
Molecule: ribosomal RNA, 432 nt
Filed under: uncultured bacterium
Lineage: Bacteria
Description: partial 16S ribosomal RNA
Rfam family: Bacterial small subunit ribosomal RNA
Source: RNAcentral